Molecule: non-coding RNA, 191 nt
Filed under: Cytophagales bacterium
Lineage: Bacteria; Pseudomonadati; Bacteroidota; Cytophagia; Cytophagales
Source: RNAcentral
CCGCAAUUGCCGUAGUAAGGUUGCUGCCCCAGCGGGCAGCACGAAGAAGGAACCGUGUGCAAAUCACGGGCUGACGCGCAACUGUAAGUAACACCACAGAAACGGCCACCUAGGUCCAUUGCCCCGCUGGGGCGAGAAGGACGGCCGCUUUCGUUACAAGCCAGGAGACUUGCCUUUACUACGCCGUGCCG